GCAGCCGCCGCGGUAAUACGUAGGGUGCAAGCGUUAAUCGGAAUUACUGGGCGUAAAGCGUGCGCAGGCGGUUAUAUAAGACAGAUGUGAAAUCCACGGGCUCAACCUGGGAACUGCAUUUGUGACUGUAUAGCUAGAGUACGGCAGAGGGGGAUGGAAUUCCGCGUGUAGCAGUGAAAUGCGUAGAUAUGCGGAGGAACACCGAUGGCGAAGGCAAUCCCCUGGGCCUGUACUGACGCUCAUGCACGAAAGCGUGGGGAGCAAACAGGAUUAGAUACCCCCGUAGUCCCUGUCUCUUAUAC
This 302-nucleotide ribosomal RNA is filed under the name uncultured bacterium. Its description in RNAcentral is "partial 16S ribosomal RNA". It matches the Rfam family "Bacterial small subunit ribosomal RNA", at positions 508 to 807 of the family's 1533-position model. The record is from RNAcentral.